This 413-nucleotide RNase P RNA is filed under the name Treponema sp. RNAcentral describes it as "RNase P RNA component class A". It matches the Rfam family "Bacterial RNase P class A". Rfam says of the family: Ribonuclease P (RNase P) is a ubiquitous endoribonuclease, found in archaea, bacteria and eukarya as well as chloroplasts and mitochondria. Its best characterised activity is the generation of mature 5'-ends of tRNAs by cleaving the 5'-leader elements of precursor-tRNAs. Cellular RNase Ps are ribonucleoproteins. The record is from RNAcentral. Lineage: Bacteria; Pseudomonadati; Spirochaetota; Spirochaetia; Treponematales; Treponemataceae.
GCGGUGAGUCAGGCUGCCGUCCGGCCGCCUGCAAAGAGGCGGCCGGGAGGAAAGUCCGGGCUCCGUAGGGCAUGAUGCCGGGUAACACCCGGGCGGAGGGCUCGCAAGCGUCCUCCGACAGAAAGCGCAACAGAAAAGAUACCGUCCGGUGGAAUUUUGGGACCGUUGAGCCCCUGAAAACCUCGGGAUAAGGGUGAAAUGGCGGGGUAAGAGCCCACCUCGGCGGCGGUAACGCCGCCGGAAAAACGGCAAACCUCAUCAGGAGCAAAGUCAAGCAGUAACAGGGCGGCCCGCCUAUUGUUACGGGUAGGCUGCUCGGGUAAAACCCGGGACACCGUUCGUAAGACCGGUGCAAGAUAGAUGGCUGCCACGGUUUUUUACCGACAAAACCCGGCUUACGGCUCACCGUUUUU